GGAUGUGGCGGACGCAUUCACGACGGUGUAUCGCAUUUUAAAUUUCUGGGAGGAUUGACAGAUUGUGAGCUCCUUCUUGAUUCGGUGGAUGGUGGUGCAUGUCCGUUCUUAGUUGUUGGAGCGAUUUGUCUGGUUGAUUCCGACAUGCCUAUUAAAUAGGUCCGUGGUUCUCUGCAUCUUGCACCCUUCUUAGAGGACAAGCGGGUUUAUACUUCGUCUCACCCUACGAUGAACUAAAGGCAAAUGCUACAGACCGCCAGAUCAGAUCACGAGCCCUUAGAAAUUGUGCGGUACUUCGCAUCGAUGCACGUAUCGGAUCUCGCGUCUCGGAUCACUAAUCAGGAGAUGGGUGGACAGUGGCUGGAAUCGAAGAGCACUGAGUGACUUAAGAAUUUUACAUCGCAAAGAAAGCCACGACAUAUAGGCUCUUUGCAGCGUGGAAGCUAUAGAAAUGAUACGGUGCUUUUAGGUUCAGAGGAUUAUUCGCCCGCCCCUGAUGAAUGUUAAGUGUGUCAUAGUAUAGCGUGGAAUGGGAUUGGACCUGGCGGCCCGUGGCUUUGGCCCUUAGUCCAUCGUAGGAUGAGACAGAGUAUAGCCGCACGAAACAGAGAAAUAACAGGUCUGUGAUGUCCUUAGAUGCCCAGGGCCGCACGUGCGCUACACUGAAGGAAGCAGCGCGUUUUUAUCCCUGUAUGUUAAAACAGUAAGCUUAGAAAAAAGUGACUAGGAAACACAGAGUGCUAAUUGAAGUUUAACAGAUUACCUCCGAGAA
RNAcentral lists this ribosomal RNA (772 nucleotides) under Ixodes scapularis (black-legged tick). RNAcentral's name for it is "eukaryotic small subunit ribosomal RNA". It matches the Rfam family "Eukaryotic small subunit ribosomal RNA", at positions 1181 to 1606 of the family's 1831-position model. The record is from RNAcentral. Lineage: Eukaryota; Metazoa; Arthropoda; Arachnida; Ixodida; Ixodidae.